This 422-nucleotide ribosomal RNA is filed under the name uncultured bacterium. Its description in RNAcentral is "bacterial SSU rRNA". It matches the Rfam family "Bacterial small subunit ribosomal RNA", at positions 358 to 773 of the family's 1533-position model. The record is from RNAcentral.
CGAAUUUUUCACAAUGGGCGCAAGCCUGAUGAAGCCACGCCGCGUGCGGGAUGAAGGCCCUCUGGGUUGUAAACCGCUGUCGAGGGAGGGGAACCGCUGCAAGUGAACAGCUUGCAGUCUGACUGCUCUCUGAAGGAAGCCCCGGCAAAACAUGUGCCAGCAGCCGCGGUAAUACAUGUGGGGCAAGCGUUGUUCGGAAUUACUGGGCAUAAAGGGUGCGUAGGUGGUUGGUUAAGUCAGGGGUGAAAUCCCGCGGCCCAACCGUGGAACUGCCUUUGAUACUGGCGAACUUGAGUGCGUGAGGGGUAGGGGGAACGAGCAGUGUAGCGGUGAAAUGCGUAGAUAUUGCUCGGAAGGCCAGAGCCGAAGGGGCCCUACUGGUGCGUAACUGACACUGAGGCACGAAAGCGUGGGGAGCAAAC